Molecule: ribosomal RNA, 404 nt
Filed under: uncultured bacterium
Lineage: Bacteria
Description: bacterial SSU rRNA
Rfam family: Bacterial small subunit ribosomal RNA
Source: RNAcentral
AACGAACGCUGGCGGCGCGCCUAAUACAUGCAAGUCGAGCGAGAAGACGUAGCAAUACGUUUGUAAAGCGGCGAACGGGUGAGGAAUACAUGGGUAACCUACCCUCGAGUGGGGAAUAACUAGCCGAAAGGUUAGCUAAUACCGCGUACGCUCCUUGGACUUCGGUUCAGGGAGGAAAGCGAUACCGUGGGUAUCGCGCUCUUGGAUGGGCUCAUGUCCUAUCAGCUUGUUGGUGAGGUAACGGCUCACCAAGGCUUCGACGGGUAGCUGGUCUGAGAGGACGAUCAGCCACACUGGCACUGCGACACGGGCCAGACUCCUACGGGAGGCAGCAGUAAGGAAUAUUGCGCAAUGGGCGAAAGCCUGACGCGGCGACGCCGCGUGGGGGAGUGAAGGUCUUCGGA